Molecule: non-coding RNA, 73 nt
Organism: Podarcis lilfordi (Lilford's wall lizard)
Lineage: Eukaryota; Metazoa; Chordata; Lepidosauria; Squamata; Lacertidae
Source: the annotation of a GenBank genome assembly
AGGACUGUAGUGCAGUGGUAUAGCAUCUACUUUGCAUGCAGAUGGUCACAGGUUCAAUCCCUGGCAUGUCGUG